AAAAAAAAAAAUAUAAACAACGGUCUUUGAACGUUGCGAAAGGGGGUAUUAGCAACAACCACUCAAAGAACGUUGCUAAAUCUUACUUUUCUCAACCAAUGGCAACAUGCAUUUGCUGAAUGUUGCAAUAAAUCUCUUUUAGCAACAUACAAUUGGUGAAUGUUGCCAUUGAAAUGUUGUAAAAAGUCAUUUUUCUUGUAGUG
RNAcentral lists this long non-coding RNA (203 nucleotides) under Olea europaea (common olive). RNAcentral describes it as "long non-coding RNA (OEUR_LNC011839)". Lineage: Eukaryota; Viridiplantae; Streptophyta; Magnoliopsida; Lamiales; Oleaceae. The record is from RNAcentral.